AUUGAACGCUGGCGGCAUGCUUUGCACAUGCAAGUCGAACGGUAACAGGUUAAGCUGACGAGUGGCGAACGGGUGAGUAAUGCAUCGGAACGUGCCCGGUCGUGGGGGAUAACGCAGCGAAAGCUGCGCUAAUACCGCACACGAUCUGAGGAUGAAAGCGGGGGACCGUAAGGCCUCGCGCGAUCGGAGCGGCCGAUGUCAGAUUAGGUAGUUGGUGGGGUAAAGGCCCACCAAGCCAACGAUCUGUAGCUGGUCUGAGAGGACGACCAGCCACACUGGGACUGAGGCACGGCCCAGAAUCCUGCGGGAGGCAGCAGUGGGGAAUUUUGAACAAUGGGCGAAAGCCUGAUCCAGCAAUGCCGCGUGCAGGAAGAAGGCCUUCGGGUUGUAAACUGCUUUUGUACGGAGCGAAAAGGUCUCCUCUAAUACAGGGGGCUCAUGACGGUACCGUAAGAAUAAGCACCGGCUAACUACGUGCCAGCCGCCGCAGUAA
RNAcentral lists this ribosomal RNA (493 nucleotides) under uncultured bacterium. RNAcentral describes it as "partial 16S ribosomal RNA". It matches the Rfam family "Bacterial small subunit ribosomal RNA", at positions 29 to 523 of the family's 1533-position model. The record is from RNAcentral.